This 467-nucleotide ribosomal RNA is filed under the name uncultured bacterium. RNAcentral describes it as "partial 16S ribosomal RNA". It matches the Rfam family "Bacterial small subunit ribosomal RNA", at positions 28 to 506 of the family's 1533-position model. The record is from RNAcentral.
GACGAACGCUGGCGGCUUGCUUAACACAUGCAAGUCGAACGGAAAGGCCCUGCUUUUGUGGGGUGCUCGAGUGGCGAACGGGUGAGUAACACGUGAGUAACCUGCCCUUGACUUUGGGAUAACUUCAGGAAACUGGGGCUAAUACCGGAUAGGAGCUCCUGCUGCAUGGUGGGGGUUGGAAAGUUUCGGCGGUUGGGGAUGGACUCGCGGCUUAUCAGCUUGUUGGUGGGGUAGUGGCUUACCAAGGCUUUGACGGGUAGCCGGCCUGAGAGGGUGACCGGCCACAUUGGGACUGAGAUACGGCCCAGACUCCUACGGGAGGCAACAGUGGGGAAUAUUGCACAAUGGGCGGAAGCCUGAUGCAGCAACGCCGCGUGCGGGAUGACGGCCUUCGGGUUGUAAACCGCUUUCGCCUGUGACGAAGCGUGAGUGACGGUAAUGGGUAAAGAAGCACCGGCUAACUACGU